This 69-nucleotide transfer RNA is filed under the name Marmota monax (woodchuck). It matches the Rfam family "tRNA". From Rfam's summary of the family: Transfer RNA (tRNA) molecules are approximately 80 nucleotides in length. Their secondary structure includes four short double-helical elements and three loops (D, anti-codon, and T loops). Further hydrogen bonds mediate the characteristic L-shaped molecular structure. tRNAs have two regions of fundamental functional importance: the anti-codon, which is responsible for specific mRNA codon recognition, and the 3' end, to which the tRNAs corresponding amino acid is attached (by aminoacyl-tRNA synthetases). tRNAs cope with the degeneracy of the genetic code in two manners: having more than one tRNA (with a specific anti-codon) for a particular amino acid; and 'wobble' base-pairing, i.e. permitting non-standard base-pairing at the 3rd anti-codon position. Lineage: Eukaryota; Metazoa; Chordata; Mammalia; Rodentia; Sciuridae. The record is from Rfam by way of RNAcentral.
GGGGCUGUGGCUCAGUGGUAGAGCAUGUACCUUGCAGGUAUGAGGCAUUGGGUUUGAUCCCUAGCACCA